This 1857-nucleotide ribosomal RNA is filed under the name Triticum aestivum (bread wheat). RNAcentral describes it as "partial small subunit ribosomal RNA". Lineage: Eukaryota; Viridiplantae; Streptophyta; Magnoliopsida; Poales; Poaceae. The record is from RNAcentral.
AUGGACGACGGCUCGACGCCGACGUACGACUUCAUUGUCGAGUACGUCCACUUCAAGGAAGCCGGGGGAGCAACCAGCUCCUCGUCGCCGGGCACGCCUACCCCGGCCCCCAAAACCACAUCGACUCCGGUGCCUGCUACGCCGACGGCACCACAACCGGCGACGCCGCACACUCCAGCCCCGGCAGUCACCACCCCGGGCUCAUCUUCAUCAGCACUAGCUCACACAGAGCACAACCCGACGAAGUUCGCCUCUCCGCUCACUCACGACGAGGAGCGGAUCGACGCGUAUUAUGGCGGCGAACCGCUGCGGUAUCGUACGAUGGAAGAUCUACUCGGCGACCAGCCGGUGCCGGGACUGGUGCCACGUGACCUGGAGGCGCAGCUACAACUCGCGUGUGAAGACGGCGAACCACGGUCUUUUGCAGAGGCCGAGAGAGACGCGGCAUGGCGCGCCGCGAUGCAGUUGGAGAUGGAUGCGGUCGAGCAAAACCGCACCUGGGAGCUCGCUGACCUCCCUCGUGGUCACCGCGCAAUCACCCUUAAGUGGGUGUUCAAGCUGAAGAGGGAUGGAGCCGGCGCCAUCAUCAAGCACAAGGCUCGCUUGGUGGCCCGAGGCUUCUUGCAACAGGAAGGAGUCGACUUCGACGACGCUUUCGCUCCCGUGGCACGGAUGGAGUCCGUGCGACUUCUCCUCACGCUGGCUGCCCAGGAGGGCUGGCAUGUCCAUCACAUGGAUGUCAAGUCGGCAUUCCUCAACGGCGACUUGAAGGAGGAAGUCUACGUGCAUCAGCCACCGGGAUUUGCGAUCCCUGGCCAGGAGGGCAAGGUACUCCGCCUGCGCAAGGCUCUCUAUGGCCUACGGCAGGCACCUAGGGCGUGGAACGCCAAGCUGGACUCCACGCUAAAGAAGAUGGGCUUCGAGCAAAGCCCGCAUGAGGCGGCCGUCUACCGACGGGGCAGUGGAGGAAACGCCCUGCUGGUGGGCGUCUAUGUUGACGACUUGGUGAUUACCGGCACCAAAGAUGCAGAGGUGGCAGCGUUCAAGGAAGACAUGAAGGCCACCUUCCAGAUGAGUGAUGUGGGGCUCCUCUCCUUCUAUCUUGGGAUUGAGGUGCACCAGGAUCACUCCGGGAUCGCGCUUCGACAGUCCGCCUACGCCAAGCGCAUCGUUGAGCUAGCUGGGCUCAGCAACUGUCACCCAGCUCUCACUCCGAUGGAGGAGAGGCUGAAACUGAGCCGCGACAGCAAGGCAGAGGAACGACCGACGUCGGAACACCAGCAGGCAGUGAAGAGGAUCGUCCGCUACGUAGCAGGGACCCUCUACCACGGCCUCCACUACCCUAGGUGUCCGGGGGCGGCACACUUCGUCGGGUACAGCGACAGCGACCACGCCGGCGACAUCGACACCAGCAAGAGCACGAGCGGGAUCCUCUUCUUCCUCGGCAAGUGUCUCGUGAGCUGGCAAUCAGUCAAGCAGCAGGUGGUGGCCCUGUCCAGCUGUGAGGCUGAGUACAUAGCGGCCUCCACCGCCUGCACUCAGGCGCUCUGGCUCGCUCGACUGCUUGGUGAUCUUCUUGUUCAAGACACCAGAACGGUGCAGCUCCUGGUGGACAGCAAGUCCGCCCUGGCCCUGGCAAAGAACCCCGUUUUCCACGAACGGAGCAAGCACAUCCGACUGAGGUACCAUUUCAUCCGCAGCUGUGUGGAAGAAGGGAGCAUCGAGGCGAGCUACAUCAACACCACGGACCAGCUCGCAGACCUGCUCACCAAGCCUCUUGGGAGGAUCAAGUUCCUCGAACUCUGCUCCAGGAUUGGGAUGAUUCAACCCUCCCACAAAACGACGUACAAGACUUAG